This 1472-nucleotide ribosomal RNA is filed under the name Methanospirillum sp. RNAcentral's name for it is "bacterial SSU rRNA". It matches the Rfam family "Archaeal small subunit ribosomal RNA". Lineage: Archaea; Methanobacteriati; Methanobacteriota; Methanomicrobia; Methanomicrobiales; Methanospirillaceae. The record is from RNAcentral.
AGUGAUUCUGGUUGAUCCUGCCAGAGGCCACUGCUAUCGGAGUUCGAUUAAGCCAUGCGAGUCGAGAGGGGUAAGCCCUCGGCGUACUGCUCAGUAACACGUGGAUAACCUGCCCUGCGGUGGGAAAUAACCCCGGGAAACUGGGGAUAAUGUCCCAUAGGCUACGGAUACUGGAAUGUUCUGUAGUUGAAAGAUUUAUCGCCGCAGGAUGGGUCUGCGCCCGAUUAGGUUGUUGUUGGGGUAACGGCCCAACAAGCCCUUGAUCGGUACGGGUUGUGGGAGCAAGAGCCCGGAGAUGGAUUCUGAGACACGAAUCCAGGCCCUACGGGGCGCAGCAGGCGCGAAAACUUUACCAUGCGGGCAACCGUGAUAAGGAAACCCCGAGUGCCAGCACAGGCUGGCUGUCCGCCAGUUUAAAUAACUGGUGAAGAAAGGGCCGGGCAAGACCGGUGCCAGCCGCCGCGGUAAUACCGGCGGCUCGAGUGGUGGCCGCUAUUACUGGGCUUAAAGGGUCCGUAGCUUGAUAACUGGGUCCCUUGAGAAAUCCGCCAGCUUAACUGGCGGGCGUUCAGGGGAAACUUGUUUUCUAGGGACCGGGAGAGGUGAGGGGUACUGCCGGGGUAGGAGUGAAAUCCUGUAAUCCCGGUGGGACCACCUAUGGCGAAGGCAUCUCACCAGAACGGGUCCGACAGUGAGGGACGAAAGCUGGGGGAGCAAACCGGAUUAGAUACCCGGGUAGUCCCAGCUGUAAACGAUGCGCGUUAGGUGUGUCAGUGACCACGUGUCACUGAGGUGCCGAAGGGAAACCGUGAAACGCACCGCCUGGGGAGUACGGUCGCAAGGCUGAAACUUAAAGGAAUUGGCGGGGGAGCACUACAAGGGGUGGAGGCUGCGGUUUAAUUGGAUUCAACGCCGGGAAACUCACUGGGAGCGACAGCAGAAUGACAGCCAGGCUAACGACCUUGCCAGACAAGCUGAGAGGAGGUGCAUGGCCGCCGUCAGUUCGUACCGUGAGGCGUACUCUUAAGUGAGUCAACGAACGAGACCCUCACCUGCAGUUGCCAGCUUGCCCUCCGGGGCGAUGGGGACUCUGCAGGGACCGCUGGUGCUAAACCAAAGGAAGGAGGGGGCAACGGUAGGUCAGUAUGCCCCGAAUCUCCCAGGCUACACGCGGCCUACAAUGAGCGAGACAAUGAGUCCUGACGCCGAAAGGCGUAAGUAAUCUCCUAAACUCGCCCGAAGUUCGGAUUGAGGGUUGCAACUCACCCUCAUGAAGCUGGAAUCCCUAGUAAUCGCGUGUCAUCAUCGCGCGGUGAAUACGUCCCUGCUCCUUGCACACACCGCCCGUCAAUCCACCUUAGUGAGGUUUAGGUGAGGCUUUGCCCCUAGGGUAGAGUCAAACCUAGGUUUCGCGAGGGGGGAUAAGUCGUAACAAGGUAACCGUAGGGGAACCUGCGGUUAGAUCACCUCCU